This is a long non-coding RNA of Sarcophilus harrisii (Tasmanian devil), 842 nucleotides long. RefSeq lists it as uncharacterized. The transcript has 3 exons. The record is from RefSeq and is a predicted model, not a curated record. Lineage: Eukaryota; Metazoa; Chordata; Mammalia; Dasyuromorphia; Dasyuridae.
GCUGCCCUGUCGCCAUUGAACAAAGCUAAUACUCACUAGAGCAUAUGGUAAAAUCUUUUCUAAAGACUUAAAAAAAAAAGAAAGAAAAAAAAAAGAAAAAGGAAAGGGGAGAGGAGAAAGAACGAAACAACUUAACCUUCCUUCAGCGCUUUUCCUCAGCGCAAAUCCAUCCCCCCACCCCAGGUUACUGCAAACUGCUUCCACCCAGAAAAGAGCAGUGCUGGACACAGUUGGAGCGGGGGUGGGUAGGGGAAUCUACUCCUGGGAGAUGCCGCUGCUAUUGCCCAGCUGAUUGAGACGCCUGAACCCCAAGGAACGAGCGACUCCUCAGUUCAGGCUAAUGGAUGACGUUGGAGAUAGUGAAGGACAUACCUGUGAAAUACCCAUGAAAUAAUCUGUCAGUGAUGUCUGCUUCCUGAACUGUUUGAGAUUAUUAAGGAUCUCUGAGUAUGGGAGCAUAGAAGAGCGAGGUCAAAGGGCCUAUAUGCUUUCAGUCUUCAAAGGUGGUGUGAUUUGGGGAGAAGUCUGCUGUUUUCCUCAUCUGUGUUCUGGUUCUUCUUCAGGUAAGAUCUCUGGCGAUCAUAAUCUUUCUUUGUUCUUGAACUAUAAGUGAUCCUCAUGUAGUAUUUUUACUUCCCUGUCUCCAUAAACAUUCCUUUCCAAUUUGGAACUGAGACCCCUACAUGGUUAAGACUCUUGCUCCCUUGUAAUUGUUCCCUUCUUUCCAGUUUGGAACUCUAAUCCAGGACUUGACAAUGGGCAAUGAAAUUAUCAAAUAUGGCAUCCUUUUGGGGGAACUCUGUAAUCAUUUUUUUUUCUUUUUUUCCCUUAUUUUAUUUGAA